Molecule: long non-coding RNA, 19571 nt
Filed under: Phaseolus vulgaris (common bean)
Lineage: Eukaryota; Viridiplantae; Streptophyta; Magnoliopsida; Fabales; Fabaceae
Description: long non-coding RNA (PVUL_LNC003299)
Source: RNAcentral
UUGAGGAGCCCAAUUAACUAUCUUACCCUUAUGCCCUUGGAAUUGAUGAGGGUAUGCCAUUUUAUUGUCUUCUCUUAUAACCCAAAGAAAAGGUCUAUUGGUGAGGUCUAGUCCAAGGGCAAGUUCAUUGAAUUGGUUUUGGUCAAAAAGAGUGAUACUACCAAAGGCAACAUACAACACAGAACCAUGAGCUUGUUCAUCUAGCCAACUCAUGCAAGAGAGAUCUUCUUCCCAGAAUUGCCCCAAUGAUCUUAGAGUUACAUUAGUUUUGUAAUGAUGAUCACUUCUCAACAACGGACCAAUUGGAAGGAGACUCGGAACAAGGGUUAAUACGUGAGGUUCAAGUUCAUGUGCAGUAUCACAAAGCCACCAUUGGGUCAAAUUUAAAGCUGGAGUACAGUGAUGCGCCAAGUAAUUAAGGUAAUGAGAACCAUCCAUAAGUCCAGCCAUGUGAAACCAAAAAAGGGUUCUUGUGUCCAUCUCUGGCAUACUUGGUGAUAAUUGAAUUGUUCCUUUUGAAGUUAAUAUGGAUCCUGCAAUGAAACAUGACAUAAUUGAGAAGUAAAAUAUGUUUUUAGAUGGGCAUGGUAUUUAUUAAAACAGGACCAAACAAAAGCAUAAGGUGCCAGACUUUAGAAACAAAAGUAUGAUAGUGUUCUUACCAUCUGAAUCUAUGAUCCCAUCAUCAACGAGCUUUGGAACACUGCUUACCAAAUGAAACAAAGUUGCAGAGGCAGGCCAAAACAGAGCUCCUUUGAUUCCCAAUUCACAGGCAACGUUCAAUAUCCAUCCCACAUGUACAUCUGCAACAAUGAACCUGAUUCUGUUGUCACCUUUCAAAUGAAUAUUAUUAUUAUCCUCUAUUAGCUUUUUAAGUGCUUCUGGCAUGGUGAUUACCAUAGAAUCACAUAGCUUGCCCACGUCGUUUCUGUCAUCAUUAGGUCCUAAGCCAUCUGAGAUUGAGACCAACUUCAGUGGCGAUUCUUCAUCAUAUUGAUCCACCAUUGAACUCACCACUCUCUUGUGGUUGAAGUCUGUGUUUACAAAUAUGACUCUGCAUCCAUUCUCCACCAGCUUUUGUGAUAGGGUUAACAUGGGAUCACAUGCCCUUGACUUGGAAAUGGGAAAACUAGCACAGUUGGAAUCCUCAUGCUAUGUUCUAGUGUCUGCCUAUUCUUUCAGACCUAGUUUGCACUUCACGGGUAUGGCUUUGUUUAUAUACACUGAAAAUAUGAUUACCAAUUGUUAUAGAUUCAUUGGAUCAAGGAUAAUUGGUAAAUAUCUGGAACCACAAAUUUAAGUUUUGUUUUUAUCUCAAUGAGAGUUGUGUAUGAUUUAGUUAUCUAUAAUGUUAAUAGAAAUGUUAAGAAUUAUGGUUAUUGUUUAUUGUGUAGCCAAAUCAUUUUUUUUCCAUCUUUAAUAUAAUAUGUUUAUACAAAAUUGAGUUUGCUAGUUGAAUUAGAUUGUGAAAGUGCUGGUACCAAACAAUAAGAAAACUUUUCACAUAUUGAUGAACCCAAUUGAUUGAAAAGAGAACCAGAUGCACGUCCUUGGCCAACUAUGCCAGAAUUUGCCCUUUCAAAAGCAAUGGUGUUGUUGUAACUACCACAUCCUAUUAAAAUUCCAGGGGAUUUUUGUUAUUCUGCAUGCGGUACAGAACCCAAUUCUACAGUAUGUUCACCAUAAUGGAAGUAAGCUCUUUCUUCUCCAAUUUUCCUAACGAUCAUGAUGAGAGGGGCAUGUGGAAGAUUUUUCAGCGAAGGGGAAGAGUAAAAGACGUUUUAUUUUAAACAGAUUAAAUGUGAAAGGACAGAGGUUCGGUUUUGUGAGAUUUUAGGAUGUUGUACAUCCACAAGUGGAAGUAUAUAAUCCUUUGCAUAUAUCAGUGAUCUGAGAAUUUUCAUGUUGUCCACAUGGACUGUCUCAAAAAGACGUGUCAGAUUAUGGAAGGCCUCUAUUUGCCUCUUGUCAUCUGCAACGGGUUAAGGAUAUGCAAUUGUCAAUUAUGCUUCAUUUCUAGAUAAAUUCUAUCCUUAUAUAUACUUACUAAAACUCUCAAAUAGCACAUCAAUUCAAAACCCUUUAAAUUGAGUUCAGGCAUUUAUAUAUAUAAAUAUGCAAAUUAAUUAACUUGAGUAUAAUUGUCCCUACCUACAUAUUGGUAGCAAAGAACCAGUUGGUUCUUGAGGUGCUCAUGAAUACUAGUAACUUGUGAGCAAGACUAGAUAAUUCCCAUGCCUCAGUGGUUGAUGAAAUGGACCUGCAAUCAACAAAAUUGGGGCCCCGGCUACAAAACUGCACCGCAAGUCCUCCCACAAGUGAUUUAGGAUAUACAAUGCUUAUGAACCAUUCAUGAACAACACUAUUCAAGUAAAUUCAACUCCUCCAAAACGAGUGAAUGCGUUGAAAAAAAAAACUGCAUUUCCGUUUGUUACAUACACAACCUUUUUAAAUGAACAGUAAAUACACUGUUAAUUUCUCAUUUUAUACAUGUACCUACCUUUAAAGAAUCAAAUUCAUACAAUCAAAAUUUUCUACAGCAUGGCAGUAGCCAGCAGGAAUAAAAAAAGAAUGGAAAUAUGUACUCAGUUCACUAACAUGAAUCUUCCUAGUCCCUCCCCAUCCCAGUUGAUCCACACCCCACACACACACACACUCUUCAAUUUACAACAUUAUCGUUAAACACAAACUAUGCAACUAUGUUCCGUCGCAGCUUCAAGGUUAACGAAUUGCUGGUUGACAAGUCCCUGCGAGAAUUGGAACAACAACAACAAAAGAAGGUACAAGACGAAUCACGAAGCACGGACCACAACCUCAAUCAUAAACCAUAGCCACAAAGAAUGACGGGAACGACGCACUAACGACGAAAAACAAACUGAUAAGAAAAAUUAGGGUUCCGAGAUCGUCAAAUAAAUCACAAACACCACAUGACCAAUCGCGGAACAUUCUACCAUGUUCCGUGCUGGAAUAGCAGAAGCACGUUUUCGUGGUGGAGCAGGAGAAGCAAAGGUCCAGUGAUGUGCGAUGGGAGUUGGACGGAAAUAAGAGUAAAAAAAAGAGAAGAUGGAAAUGAAAGGCGGGUUUAGGGGCUACGGAAGUGAAGAGGAAAGGAAAAGAAAAUAAGGAAAAAAUAAAAAACAAUAGUUUACUAAGGUUUUCAAAUAAACUUCUACCCUUUUUUCCAGAGGUUUUCAAAUAAACAUCGUUAAAUAGACUUUUGAUAUUUAAUAAAGUUUAAGUUUAAAAAAACUUUUCUUAAUUAAAUUUAUUAUGGAAGUUAUAUUAAUCAUUGAUAAAUAAAUUUAUUUUAAUAUAAUAUAAAGUUAUUAAAUGAAAAUUAAUAUAAAGUUUUGAUUAAAUAAAUAUUUAAAAUUAAGUAAACAUUUAUAACUCAACGAAGAUUAAAAAAACUUUCACUAUUUUUCAGAGAUUAAAAUAAAUUUUUGGAAAUUAAUUAAGAUUAUAAAAAACCUCCGUUAUUUUGUGGAGGUUUCAAAAUAAACCUUUGGAAAUUAAUGAAGGUUAAAAAAACCUCCAUUAUUCUACUAAGGUUUUAAAAUAAACCUUUGUAAAUUAACAAAAGUUAAAAAAACCUUCAUAAUUUUGCGAAAGUUUUAAAAUAAACCUUUGAAAAUUAACGAAGGUUAAAAAAAACAUCCGUUAUUUUGCUGAGAUUUUAGAAUAGAUCUUUGAAAAUUAACAAAAGUUAAAAAAACCUCUGUUAUUUUGUUGAGGUUUUAGAAUAAAUCUUUGAAAUUUAGCUAAGGUUAAAAAGCAUCCGGUAUUUUGUUGAGGUUUUAGAAAAAACCUCCAUUAAUUAAAUCAAUCCCUAGGGUUAUAUUAACUUCCGCUAAAUAACCUCCCUUAAAACCUUUUUUGUUGUUGUAGUGUGUAGAUGCUGCUGAUCUAGAAAAAAAGGCUAAAUAUUAUCUGGAUUGGGACAUGGAAGAUGAGUGUAAAUAAACCCAAAUACAAGAGAGUUCAGGAGACUAGGAAGGAGUGGAAUGGAAACCAUAGAACAAAGAAACAACAGAAGGAAUAGAGGCAGAGGGACUAACAUCAAAUGUACGCUUAGGUGGUGGUGAAGGAGAAUGAAAGGAGAGUACAAGGGGUUAAGGCACAAGGAUUGGUUCAUUUCAAAGUUCAGGAUGUCCUGGUAUGUAUACAUUAUUAUUGUUGUCAUAUAUUGAUUUUUAAUAUUAAUUGAUCAAUUUUAAUUUCAUGAUGUUUUAUUGCAGACACAUUUUGAUAUUCCUAAUGUGGAACCGCUGAGAUCGAAGGUGUCAUUAAAUUUCGUCAGUUUAAGUCACAACUAACUAUGAAUUAUGUUUUUGGACGUUAUAAAGGUCAAAAUCCUUGUUUAAAGUACACAAAUAUUGAUGAGGAGACAUGUCGUUUUUUGUUUAAAGCCGUGAAUUUGAAGAGUGGUCGGUAAGUAAGUUACUUAAUUAUUUUAUUUAUGGAUCAUAACAUAAUUACUUAAUAUUAUUUUAUUCACUUUGUUUAUUUCUUUUAUAAUAGGAUCGUCGAAAGAAAGCUUAAGACAUUGCAUUAAAGCAUGUGACCCUGCACCUAAUGUCUCGUUCAGGGGUAUCAUAAGCUUGAACAAUAUUGAUGUAGGAAAAGGAGCAAUCGAGACAUGGGAUUGCUUUUGACAUUGAUACAGGGGUCAACGAACACCACCUACCCGCCGCCAAAAAUGGAAGAUGGCUCGAAUUAAAAAGUCAGGUACAUAUAGUUUUGAGCAAUCACAGAUAGUCUCAGAAAAAAAUUGUAAGUUAUUUUUAUCCUCUUUGGCAUUUAUUUUAAAGCAUUAAUUAUAUUAAAAACUUAUAUGAUUUUGGUCUGUUGCAGGAUUCCUUGGUUGAGCAAAGCUCCUAAGGUAAUUUUGUACCUCAAGGUUGUCAAGAUAUCCUAGUUGAAACAAUUGGACGACCUAAGCACCCUAGUCCUGUACGUGCAAUUGGAAAAGUGGUUGGAAUUAAAAUUUAUUUCGGAGUUGCACCACGACAUUCAUCCUCCUCCCCCCGUUAGAGAGCAAAGCAUAAAUGAUGAUGAAGAUACAACAAGAAUUAAUGGAGGAGAUGAAAAAGGAAAUGAUCACAUGCGGCUAGAGUUGCGAAAGGAUUUUCUAUCGCAACAGGUUUGUGCUGAGUCGGUUGAGCCGCUUGUUAGUCUCAAUCUCAAAAGCACAUAGGGGAGUUGUGCAACUCCUACAACGUCAGAAGGGGAUGUCAUUGGAAAAGUUUAUCAAAAGGCCAUUACCUUACACAACGUUCCUCUCUCCCCUGAUGUGGUGAAGGUAAUGGUGGAACAAGUACGAGUAACUGAUGUUCGUGUUCCACUACCUACAAAUGAGGUAACCACUCUGGCCGAGGCAUUUCAGACAUUCACAGCCUAACCCAGAUACCUCGUUCGAAUUAUGCCAAAACCCUCGGUAAUAACUUCAUUUUGUUAUAUUAAUUUAUAUUUAUGUAUUACAUCUAAUUUAAUAUAAAUGUUCUUUAUUUUGUAGAAACCUCGUCGGAAACCAAGUCCGAAAAAGAAGCAUGAGGUUCCCAUUGAUGAUCCUAUAACUUCUUUAAAAGUAGCGACUAAGGAGAUUCCGUGGGAUGAUAGCUUUUUUGGAAGAGGCACUAACAUGCCACUGUACAUAUAUAUGUCAGAUUUGUUAGAAUUUGCAGCUGAAAACUAGGAUCUUAAUAUGACUAUAAUUCAAUUUUUUAUUAUGUAAGUAUCUUUACCUAUAUUUCAACUUAUUUUAUGUUAAAUUAUUAUUGAUUAUGCUUUAACUAAUAACUUCUAGGUAUUUUUCUAGAGUUUCUAUUAAUGACGAGAAUGAAGAUGUCUAUGGAUUCUUGGAUUCCUAUCAUAUUAACCCAAUUAAAGCGAAGAAAGCCGAAACUCAAUCAUACAUCACUAACACUCUGAGCAAAAAGGGAUUUUUUUUUAUCAUUGCCCUUAUAUUAAUGAGUAAGUUCAAUUAUAAGUCGUCAAGUAUUACUAUUUCAUGUUUUAAAUAUUUACUAACUCUUUUCAUAGAUGAUAUUGGGGUCAGUGACAGUUACUUGUGUUAUCCACGGUUGAUAAGACUGUUGUGUGGUUUUGUUCAUUGCACAAUAAGCCAUCCACACAUCUGAAACAUAUAAUUGAUGUAAUUACACUAUAAACUUGUAUGUUACUUAAAUGUCUACUAACGCGGUUUUUUAUAUUAAUCAGGGCAUGGCAUGGGUAUAACAUACUCGAAGGUCGACCGAGUGCAAAUUAUAAAAACCUGACAUAGUUGAACUUAAAGGUUUGCAAUUUUUGUCUUCCUCUUUUCAUUGUUUAUCAAUAUUAACUUAUAAUUUCUAUAGAAUUAUAGUGUAAUAGACAACCAGGAGACUACGAGUGUGACUAUUACGUCAUGCAAUGGAUGAUUACCAUUGUAAGAGAUAUUAAAACAGAUUGGGAGCAUGUAAUAAUAUUAAAUUUUUUCUUUAUAAUUCUUUAACAUAUAUAACACUAAUUAAUGUGAACCUUAUUUUGUAAUGGAACUCUUUACGGAUGAAAACCCACUGCCUUUGGCUGACAUAGAAUAUGUGAGACAUGCUUGGACCACAUAUUUCCUUAAUUUCUAUAACUCUACGAUAGCUACUCAAUAGUAUAUGAAUUAGAUAGAUAGAUAGGAAUAUGUAUUAGUGUAUGUAAUACAUAUUUAUUAAUAUAUAUAUAAUUUGAUUCUUUGAAUUUAUGUAUCUGGCUGACUGAGUUUUAACUGAAUAGGUUAAUUUAGUUGAAAAAACAUAUUAAACAAAAUGUAUUAAAAAAAUUCUUAGAAUACAUGGCGAUUAUGACCAUAAUCGCCAUUUAUACCUCAUGGGGAAGGGUAUAAACGACAGUUAUGACAAUAACCGACAUGUAUACCCCCAUCUUUGCUGAGCCUUCGAAAGGGUAUAAAACGACGGUUAUUACCGUAAUCAUCGUUUUAUACCUCUUGCAGGUAUGGUAUUUGGGAGUGUAGGGGAGGUUUUAAGUGGCAGUUAUUACCAUAACUUCCAUUUAUUUAUGUCAUUAACACGACGAUCAUUUAGCCGCCAUCUAUUCAUCAAGAGAAUAGAUUAAUGUUCAUACACAACGGGUCAAGAAUCACCAUUUUAUUGCUAAAUUAACCGUCGUCUUUCACAUUUUCUACACUGCAACUUUUCUUUCAUCAAGUAUAUAGAAAUAAUGAUUUGUUUAUUGUUUAUGUUUCUUUUUAUUAACCAACUAUUUACAAUUUUUUUUCAUAAGCAAAAUAAUUUAGUAGUAAAAGAAAGCUAAACUUGAGCACAAUGUAAGUAAAGCUGUAAAAAAUUGAAAUGACUCCAUUAACCAUUGAGGAUCAUAAACAUAAAUCAUCAUGGUAGACAAAACAACAAUUAAUCUAAACCUAGAAUUAACAAAAACACAAAAUGUCAAAUCUUAUUCUUUUAUCUCCUUCACAAACUUCUUAAGGUUCUCAUAAGAUGUACCUCCUUUUGCUAUGUUGUUCAUCACUUUCUCCUUCAACACCACACACCUAAAUUUCAUGCUCUCAUCAUUACAUAAUUGUUCAACCUUGGUUUUCAACUCUCCGCGUGACACAACUCCAUUUUGAUCUUUGUCAAUUCCCAACCCAACCUUUAACUCAUCACAAAUAUGUGUUUUGUUGUAAGGUUGGUCUCCAAAGUAUGGCCAACACAAGAAAGGUACCCCAUUGGACAAACCUUCCAUGGUAGAAUUCCAACCACAAUGAGUGAGAAAACAUGCUAUGGCAGGGUGACUUAAAACCUUUUGUUGAGGAGCCCAAUUCACUAUCUUACCCUUAUGCCCUUGGAAUUCAUGAGGGUAUGCCAUUUUAUUGUCUUCUCUUAUAACCCAAAGAAAAGGUCUAUUGGUGAGGUCUAGUCCUAGGGCAAGUUCAUUGAAUUGGUUUUGGUCAAAAAGAGUGAUACUACCAAAGGCAACAUACAACACAGAACCAUCAGCUUGUUCAUCUAGCCAACUCAUGCAAGAGAGAUCUUCUUCCCAGAAUUGUCCCAAUGAUCUUAGAGUUACAUUAGUUUUGUAAUGAUGAUCACUUCUCAACAACGGACCAAUUGGAAGGAAACUCGGAACAAGGGUUAAUACGUGAGGUUCAAGUUCAUGUGCAGUAUCACAAAGCCACCAUUAAGUCAAAUUUAAAGCUGGAGUACAGUGAUGCACCAAGUAAUUAAGGUAAUGAGAACCAUCCAUAAGUCCAGNNNNNNNNNNNNNNNNNNNNNNNNNNNNNNNNNNNNNNNNNNNNNNNNNNNNNNNNNNNNNNNNNNNNNNNNNNNNNNNNNNNNNNNNNNNNNNNNNNNNCAUGACAUAAUUGAGAAGUAAAAUAUGUUUUUAGAUGGGCAUGGUAUUUAUUAAAACAGGACCAAACAAAAGCAUAAGGUGCCACACUUUAGAAACAAAGGCAACAAUACAAAAGUAUAGUAAAGUAUGAUAGUGUUCUUACCAUCUGAAUCUAUGAUCCCAUCAUCAACGAGCUUUGGAACACUGCUUACCAAAUGAAACAAAGUUGCAGAGGCAGGCCAAAACAGAGCUCCUUUGAUUUCCAAUUCACAGGCAACAUUCAAUAUCCAUCCAACAUGUACAUCUGCAACAAUAAACCUGAUUCUGUUGUCACCUUUCAAAUGAAUAUUAUUAUUAUCCUCUAUGAGCUUUUUAAGUGCUUCUGGCAUGGUGAUUAGCAUAGAAUCACAUAGCUUGCCCAAGUUGUUUCUGUCAUCAUCAGGUCCUAAGCCAUCUGGGAUUGAGACCAACUUCAGUGGUGAUUCUUCAUUGUAUUGAUCCACCAUUGAGCUCACCACUCUCUUGUGGUUGAAGUCUGUGUUCACAAAUAUGACUUUGCAUCCAUUCUCCACCAGCUUUUGUGAUAGGGUUAACAUGGGAUUCACAUGCCCUUGACAUGGAAAUGGGAAAACUAGCACAGUUGGAAUGCUCAUGCUGUGUUCUUGUGUUUGCACUUCACGGGUAUGGCUUUGUUUAUAUACUCUGAAAAUAUGACUACCAGUUGUUAUAGGCUCAUUGGAUUAAGGAUAAUUGGUAAAUAUUUGGAACCACAAAUUUAAGUUUUGUUUUUAUCUGAAUGUGAGUUGUGUAUAAUUUAGUUAUCUAUAAUGUUAAUAGAAAUGUUAAGAAUUAUGGUUAUUGUUUACUGUGUAGCCAAAUCAAUUUUUUCUUCUUCUUUAAUAUAAUAUGAUUAUACAAAAUUGAGUUUGGUAGUUGAAUUGGAUUGUGAAAGUGCUGGUACCAAAGAAUAAGAAAACUUUCCACCUAUUGAUGGAUCUAAUUGAGUGAUAAGGGAACCAGAUGCUCGUCCUUGGCCAACUAUGCCAGAAUUUGCCCUUUCAAAAGCAAUGGUGUUGUAACGACCACAUCCCAUUCAAAUUCCAGGGAAUUUUUGUUAUUCUGCAUGCAGUACAGAACCCAAUUGUACAGUACGUUCACGAUAAUGGAAGUAAGUUAUUUCUUCUCCAAUUUUCCUAACGAUCAUGAUGAGAGGGACAUGUGGAAGAUUUUUCAGCGAAGUGGAGGAUUAAAAGACGUUGUGAUUUAAAAAGAUUAAUCGUAAAAGGGCAGAGGUUUGGUUUUGUUAGAUUUCAGGAUGUUGUAGACGUUGCUAAUCUAGAAAAAAAGCUUAAUAUUAUCUGGAUUGGGACAUGGAAGCUGAGAAUAAAUAAACCAAAAUACAAGAGACUUCUGGAGGUUAGGAAGGAGUGGAAUGGAAACCAUAAACCAAGGAAACAACAAAACGAGUGGAGGCAGAGGGAGCAACAUCUAACGUACGCUCAGGUGGUGGUGAAGGAGAAUAAAAGGAGAGUACAAGGGGUUAAGGCACAAGGACUGGUUCAUGUCAGAGUUCAGGAGGAAAAUGCAAAAUGGCUGAGAAGUUGCUUCGUAGGAAGAGUGGCGAAGGUGGAGAAGGUGCAGUCCAUGAAGUAGUGUUUCAUUAUGGAUGUUUUCAAGUGUAUUAGAGUGAGGUAUCUAGGGGGGACUACGUUCUGCUGUCUGAGGAUUUGGUAGGGGUGGUACAAAAAGCGUUGGAAGACAAAAAGGAGUGGUUUGCAAAUGUUUUUGCAUUUGUAGUCCCAUGGGAUGACAUCUUUGUAGUGGAGGACAAGAUUGUAUGGGUUAGAUGCAGAGGAAUUUCUUUAAAGUUCUGGAGUAAACAUUGUUUUGAACAAGUAGCAGCCCUCGUAGGGUCAUUGAUAGAAGUCGAUGUUGCAACGUUAUCAAGUACGCAAGGGUGCGUGUGAGGGUUCCUGUGGCCAGAGAAGCAUGCACGGUGAAGAAUGUGAGACUUAACGAAACAUUGUGUAAGCUAGUUAUAGAGGAGGAGACUUCCAUCACGAGUCUCUGCGUAUGCGGUCCUCAUUAUAAGUGGAGGGAGAUGCAUGGAAGGGAGUCAAAUGGUUAUUGGGUCUCGAAAGGCCCAGCGAAGUGAAGGCAGUAUGUUUAGUGUUUUCAUGGGUUUGGGCCCAAGGAAGGUGGAAGUUGAACAAUCAGGGGGUAUUGCAAGCACAUAACCCACGAAAUGGCAGCUAGAACAACGUUUACGUUGGCGAGGGGAGGAAUGGUGCGUUGCGAGUGAGUAAUGGAGGAAGGCAGGUGAGGGGUAAGGUGAAGCUCCUAUUGAGGUUGGGCGCUUGCAGAGGAGAAGGUGUCAUUGUCAUAGAGACAAAAGAGGGUGUUGAAACAUAUCAGUUGGCACAACGGGGCUAUGGCAGAUUUUCCCCAACAACGACGACGUUUAUAAGUGCCUAAUUUCAAUAAUAUUUUAUAUUAAAAUAUAGGUACUUAUGUGUAUUAAUUUCUAAAUUACAUAUAAAAUAAAUUCCUAAUUUAUGAAUUUAUGCCUUUUUUACAUUUUUUAUGAUCUUUAUUUGAAUAAGAACAUUUUAUUCCCAUAUUUGGUGUUAAUUGUAGGUUUCUAGGGAAAAAUGGAGAUUUGGACUAAAGAAGAAUGAUAUAAGCUAAAAAGAGAAUGCUGGAAGGUCCAGAAAGCACAAAAAGAGAAAAAAAAGAGUCCAACCCAGUAGCAGAGUUCUUGCUCAAACAAGCUAUAUCUCGCUUGAGCGAGAGAGCUCCAACAACGUUCUCAAAAAAUCGACUCCUUUCUCGCUCAAGCGAGAAUGCAUCAGAGAAAUUGGGCCAUUUUUAUGUUUUAUCAAUAAACCCAUCAGUGCGACGCAAGAAGUCACAUAACCCUAGUAAAUUAGGUUAAAUAGGGGGCUAAAGGCUCAACCCUAGUAUGCCAGAUUGAGAGAAAAACACAUUUGAGUGAUUUGUAACCAAUUGGGAGAAUGGAAGGUGCUGGAAGUAUGCGUGGGUAAUUCUACCCUUUGGGAUUGGGAGUAAUAUGUUCGAACUCUUAUGUAUUGAGGUGAUGUUUAAAUAUGAUAUCAUAUUUUGUCCUUGAUUGAUUAUUGGUAUUGUUGUUUUUCUUCUAAAUAGUGGUGACAUGUUUGAGAAUCUUGAAUUAGACUGGGAGGUAUUUUCAGGGUUCUGACCUAAACAACAAUACUUAACAUAUUUGAAUGUUAGAGAUAACUUGAAAUGUCAAUUGCUAUUAACGUCUGAGCGCGACUCUGAGUUGUUUUUAUAAGUAUGCGAGAGUUCGAUAUUUAGGAAACAUUCUUAAGAAUUUUAUAUGCGAGAGAUUGAUAUAAAUGAUUUUUCUACAGACAUCAAUUUCAAUAAAAGAACUUAAUGUUAACAUGCUAAUCAAAAUACAUGAGAGUGAGCAAGAUGAAACCUAAUCCCUAUUUGUCCAAUUGAAGCAAUUACUCUUUGAUUUGUUUUCUUGUUAAUUGUUGCCAUUAUAACAAUUUUCAAACCAAAUUUUUAUUGUUUUGUUUUAUAUUUAGUGAAUAUUGUACUUGAUAAUUCAAUUGUUCCUUGUGACAUUGAUAUUCAUUCUUUAUUACUUCUAACAACGCGAUGUACUUGCUGUAAAAAGUCAUCAGGCGUCCCCGGCUUCUCCCCUGCAUUCAUUUGGAGAAGGCAGCGAGCAAAGGGGGCGGAUAAGGGUGAAAAUUUUAAGUCUUCGAGCUGCAAUGGAAAGGCAGCCACGGAGGAGAAGGAAGACAACGACUUAAGGGGAUGUGCGACUUUGGAGGAAGGUGAUGGUGGUUGGUGCAGGGGAGAUGCGGACGUGAAGUUCGCUGAAAUUUUAAUCGAAGCUAAGGGAGAUGGAGAUUUUUCAAAAAGAGGAGCGGAAGCGAGAAUAUUGACGGGGGCCACACCGACAAACUUUUCGGUGCAAAAUCAACGGGAAAUAAGGUUAGAUUCUUAGAGCUCAAUCAAUUGCUCUACUCAUAGUGCACUUAGGAAUUGUAAUAGGUUGUUUUGGAUUAAAACGAGUACUCGAAAGCUGAUAGAAUUUGGAAUGUUGGUAAGGAGGUGGGGUUUUCCUUUCUCGGAGAGGGUGAUGUUGUUAUUGGUAAGCUACAAGUCAUGGAGGUUAGAGACAAAUCUGCAGGUAGGAGGGAGGAAAUAAGCAGGGUGGAGAAUAGUCUGUCUAAUGAGUAAGCUAAUUAAUAUGAAUAUAAGGGGAGUAGGGGGAAAUAUUAAAAGGAAAUAUCUACGAGUUGAUUAAGAAAGAACAAGUAUGUUUACAGGAGGCAAAAUGUAAGGAGUUGGGGCAAGAAGAGAUUUUUAAAAUGUGGGGUACUAAUGAAGUGGAUUGGGUUGAAAAUGGAAUUAAAAACAAUGCAGGAGAGGUGAUCACGAUGUGGAGGAGAAGUUGCUUUCUUCUUAGUAAUUUUAUCAAUGAGAAGAAUUAUAGUAUAAUAGAAAGGGAGUGGAGGAUUGGAGAGCCGAUACAGAUCACUAUUGUUGACGUGUAUAAUUCCGGUUCCUUGGAAGAAAAAAGAUAAGUAUGAGAGGAGGUCAGAGAGAGGAGAACGGUGCAUGGAUCAAAGGCUUGGUGCGUGGUUGGGAACUUUAACUCUAUCAGGAGAAUAUGUGAAAGGAGGAAUGCAGGAAACGAUAUUGAUCACAGUAGGGAGAUGAGAAGAUUCAAUAAUUUUAUUGAAAACACUGAGUUGGUUGAUAUUUCGAUGAUGGGAAGAAAGUUUACGUGGUAUAAACCAAACAAUUUAAUCAAGAGUAGAAUUGAUCGUAUCUUGGUGUCGCGGGAAUGGUUGAAUAAGUAGCCUAACAGUAAACAUCUCGUUCUAAACAGAUCGGUGUCUGAUCAUUGCGUCCUGGUAUUAAAAACAGAUACUACGGAUUGGGGACUGAAACCAUUUAGGUCGUUGGAUAUAUGGAAAAAUGACGACAAAUUUAUGGAUUUCGUUAGAGUGAAAUGGGGAAGUUAUGACGUGCAAGGAAGUGAGAUCUUUGUCUUUAAAGAGAAGUUGAGAAUGUUGAAAGUUGAUCUUAAAACCAGGGAUAGAGAGGUGUUCGAUAAUGUUGAUCAGUUGGGGGAAGAUUUACAGAAGAAAGUUUAGGAGUCUGAUGCAAAGGAUGAUGAGGGCGAGUUGGAUGAGGAAGGAAGAGAGGAAAGAAAAUGGCUUUUAGCAAAGCAGAGAAGAAAUAAUCACGGACAUGAAGCUUUAUUUCAACAUAAGAUGCGCCAUGGAUGGUUGAAUCAGGGGGACUUGAAUACAAGAUAUUUUCAUUCGGUAAUCAAAUAGAGGAGAGCAAGGAACAACAUUAGUGGGCCGAGAGAAAAUGGCCAAUGGGUUGACGAGCAAGGUGAGGUCAAGAAAAAGGUUAGAGAUUUCUUCCAACAAAGGUUUGGUGGUGAUGCUUGUAAAUGUGUCAGGAUUGAUAAUGCAAGGUUCAACAGGAUUUCAGAAGAAGACAAUGAUAUGUUGGUAGGAAGAAUAAUCGAAGAGGAAAUAAAACAUGUUGUUUGGUGUUGUGAAAGUGAUAAAAGCCCGAGACCGGAUGGAUUUAACUUUGGCUGCAUUAAGUUUUGUUGGGAUGUUUUUAAGGUCGAUAUCAUUAGGGCAAUUCGUGAUUUUAAGGAAGGAGGAAGAUGGCCAAGGGGGACGAAUGCUUCGUUUAUCUCCUCCUAAAUAACCCGCAAAAAUUUGAACGAUUUUAGACCAAUUUCUUUGAUUGGCUAUCUAUACAAAAUUGUGACUAAAAUUUUGUCUUUGAGGCUGAAAAAUGUUUUGCACAAAGUUAUUGACAGUAGGCAAUUUGUUUUCUUGGAGGGUAGGGGGUUAAUGGAUAGUGUUUUAGUGGCAAAUGAAGUUUUGGAAGAAGUGAAGAGGAGAAAGACCAGUUGCUUUUUUUUUUCAAAGUUGACUAUGAAAAGGCAUAUGACUCGAUCAUUUGGGACUUUAUCUAUUACAUGAUGGACAAGUUAGGUUUCUGCGGAAAAUUGAUUGAAUGGGUAAGGGCAUGUCUCGAAUCAUCCUCCGUGUCCGUGUUAGUAAAUGAGAAUUCAGACCGAGGAAAGAAUUAAGACAAGCAGAAUUGAGAAAAAGAUUGGCUGGAGUAGUUAGGAAGGCGGUCGAGAAAGAGAUUCUAGAAAACCUGGAGAUUGGAGACAAGUUUGUUAAGGUAAACAUGCUUCGGUAUGCGAAUGAUACCCUUUUUUCUGCAAAGCUAAAGUGCAAAGUGUGUUCGUUAUCAAAGCCAUCCUUAAUUUAUUUGAAUUAGCUUCUGGUUUAAAGAUUAAUUUUGAGAAGAGCAGAAUAUGUGGGGUGGGAGGUGAUUUACAUAUGGGGCAACUUUGUGUAUCUAUUUUGAACUGCGCUGUGAUGAAGACUACGUUUAAGUAUUUGGGCAUGCUAGUAGGGGGAUGUCACAAAAGAAGUAAGUUAUAGGAAGACUUUGUCUGAUAAAAUUGGUUCUAUCUUCUCUACCCAUGUUCUAUAUGUCACACACACACAAUAUUUCAAAAUAUUGCCCUCUUCAUAGGAAUUUUAAUAUUUACACAUAUCAAACUAAAAUACUUAAGAAAACUAAACAUUUCCUUUGCUCAUUGUGAAGCUCUCUCAUUUGUAGCAUCAUCUGCUUCCGUAUAAAUACAUGAUCAUCCUAGAUAAGAAAAACAAAUUAUAAAAUAAACAACAUGGUAAACUAGCUAUUUUUAAAAUUUCAAAUAUAAAUUUAACUUAAAUUAACAAGCAUAAAUGCAUCAAUUCUCAUAUAUUUCACAAAGAAAUCAAGUGUGUAUAAAAUUCAUAAUUCAUCUUUCUCAUGUCAAACUUCUCCUAACCCACAACACAUAGACACUUGACUCUACUUUCAGAAGACAAAUGUAUUGAAAUUAGCACUCAGAAACAAACAAUCCUUCAAGAAAAUUGAACUAGUGUCCACGUCACCCGCACAUCCAGAUCUUCUAACCUAGGUUCUAUUGAAAAUUUAAAACUAGCUUCCCUUACCUGACUUUAGUAGGUGUGCUCACAAAGAGCUCCAACUCCUACUACAAUAAAUGAUAACUUAACCUGCAUCACAGAGUCUUAAUCAAAGGUCUAAAUAUAACACUAGGAAUUUGAAUUAAGAGUGGUUAAUCUUGAAGUUAGAAACAUCACAUGAAACAACCUAUACUAAGACAAACCUAACUAGUUAAGAACUGACUCAAAGGAAAAAUGAGCAAAAAAAGAAGAAGAACUUACUCUGUCUAAGAUUCUAAUCGUACCGUCUUGUGGCCUUUGCUGCUAGGAGUCCAAUAAUGGACUCUGAUCGUUAAUAUGAUGAAUGAGGAUGUCGAAAUUUUAGAGAUAAGGUAGAGAAAAGGAAAAUAGAAGUUUCAGAGAGAUGGUAAUUCUUUUAAAAUGAAAUAUGAGUAACUGAAUUUCUUUUCAUAUACUAUUUUCACUUUAAUAAUAAAAUAUUCAAGUUUCAUUUAAAAUAUAUCACUUCUACUCUAAAAUUAGUUUUUAGAUCCUUACCUUCAUCAAUACAUUUAUUUAUUUAUUAUAAAAGUUUUUAGUGGCAUAAGAGUGUAUGAAUACAUUAUACCGUUAACUUCAUCUUCAACUUACAUCAUGUGAAAAUUUCAUUUAAAUAAUGUUUAAAGCUCACUAGUGGAAACUCUAAUGUUAGUUACAAUUACUGUAUAUAGGAACCUAUAAUAAUAGUUUUUUAAACUAAAAAUUAUUGUUGAACUGGACAAGAGUGAGAAUUUACUAAAAAAACCUUCAAAUUAUAAUUUUUAUUCAAUAAUAAUUUUUUUAUAAAUAAAAAUUAAAUUUUGUUAAGAAUUCAGUUGGAUCCCAUAUUUUUUUUUAGUUUUCUUUUUCAACUAUUUUUUUUGUGUGGAUUCUUCUUAUCAUUUGUAGAGUAGCUAGUUACAUGAGCAACAACUUUUUUUGAAAGGGAUGGGAGGGAGGGAGUCUCUUUUCUCAUAUUCCAGUCUCUUUUUCUGCUGGUGUAUGUGCUAAUCAAAUUCCUCUGAUUUGGGAAGUCUUUAUAGUUUAAGUUUUUUAGUGUUAAGUGCUCCCUUAACCCUGUUUUGUAUUGUUGUUUGUUUAAACUAUGGAGGUAUUAUGUAUAAGGAUUGGGACACUCUUUAAGUGUCUCAUUUUUAUUUUAUUAAUUUAAUGCUGAUAAAAAAAAAAAACAACUAUUUUUGAACUAUUUCAUAUGCUUAGAGAAUCAUCAUUCAUUUGAUCUUGAAUUUCUGGUUCCUUGUACUUUUCAGACUUAAUUAAUAUGGACCACGUACCCCAUGAACUAAAUGCACCUAAGUCUUUUGUCUCUUGCACCUCCAUUGUCAGAACCACGUGGCCCAUCACAAGUUUUCACAGUGUCCUUUUAGAAUUUUUCAAUCUUUUCUCAGUUUGCUUUCUUUAUUUGUAUAUGUAUUAUUUGUGUACAUAUUGAAAACUUUAUUGUAUCUAGAUUACAGUAAAUAUAUAUGGUUCUCGAACAUGUGUUUGCUUACAAAACGAUUGCUCUGUUCUUUCCUUUGGUCGUUCGCGGUCAUAUUCAGUUUCUUGCUUCGUCUUUCUCUUUUCGGUCGUUUGGUUUCAAAGGUUGGGAUAGUACUUGCAGAAGGCAUUCCGACGAUCAAGUUAGUCAGAGUAUCGACACUCAGUUGUCAGAGUACUGCAGAUAAUUGACGUACCUGAUUUUUGGAAUAUGUGUUAUUUAUAUUAUCUUAAUGAACCUUUAUUGGUGGGCCGGAUUAAGAUGUUGGCUAAUGUUUAGGAUUUAGUAAACAACUCUUAAUUAUGGAUUAAUCCUGCUGACUUGGUCAACCCAUAGUUCGUCAUCAAGGUCGGUCGAUCAGGUUCUUCACAUGACCUUCUUAUCAUGACCGAGUGAUCGAGUUCAUGACCGACUCACUUAGUGGUUCGAUCGUGUGCCAGUACAUACAUUUUUUUACUUUAAAGUGAUUCAUAAUUUUUACUAAUAUUAUAUAAUUUUUCACAUUAAAAAUGCGUAUUUUUUUUAUGAUUUUUGAGUUUGUGUUAUUUCUUUUAUCAGUUUAUUAAUAUAAAAGUGUCGGUUCAAAUAAUUCGAAACUUAAGUAUUUAUACACUUUAUUCAAAUUGAUCAAUUCAAUGGGAUGUAAACUAAUUGGGUACUGGAAGGAUAAGAAAGUAAAUUGAACUAUUAUGAAAGACUAUUUAUAUUAAUUUUACCUCUAAAAGUUUAUAUUAUGUUCAUUAAAAUAACUAAUAAGUAGAGAUAAAAUAAAUAACUUUAACUAAGGGUUGAAACUCGAAUUUUUAUUUCAGAGUUGUUAACUUAACAUUUAAAAUCUUUCAAAAGCAUGAACAAUCUUUUAGAUUGGCGCCUGUAAAUAAGAGAAAAAAAAUCAUUAUUUUUGUUUCCUAUGUUUAUAGGAUCUGAAAAAAAAAACUAAUAAGUCAACACAUAAGUAUAAAAUGAAUAUCAAAUUAAAUUUUUCAUCAGUUAUCAUUAAAUCUUUAUAACUGUGUGUUAGUUUGAAUUGGGUCAGUUUAAACAUAAAACCAACUCAACACAAUCAUAAAUAAAACUUCAACUCAACCUAUUGAAUUAAAUUAAAGUUUGUUAAGCUGGCGUUUUUUUUAAUUAGGUUGUAUUAUUAUUUUUUAAUUAGGUUAAUAUUUAAAAGUUAUAAUUUUUAACGAAAAAAAAUUCAAAUUUUUGAUCCAAUCUUAAUCCAACCAUCUCAAAAAUGAUUUGGAUUAAUUGGUUUAACAUGCAAAAUUUAAAAACAAACUUAACCAACCUUAUAUUUUUAAAUGGGUUGAAUAAUAGGUUUUUCUAGAUAUACCCAAUAGAAAACCAUUUAAAAAUUAUAAUGGAUUUUUACCGCUUGAAAAGAGAUUCUAUUAACUUGGAUUCCAUCUUUUCUUUCAUCAAACAUAUAGUGAUAAUGGAUUUUUUUUAUUGUUUAUAUUUCCUUUUGUUAACAAACUUGCUACAUUUUUUUUUCUUAAGCAAAAUAAUUUAGUAGUAAAAGAAACCUAAACUUGAGCAUAAGAUGUAAGUAAAACUGUAAAAAAUUUAAAUGACUCCAUUAAUCAUUGAGGAUCAUAAACAUAAACUAUCAUGGUAUACAAAACAACAACUAAUCCAAACCUAGAAUUAACAUAAGCACAGACUGUGAUGUGAAAUCUUAUUCUUUUAUCUCCUUCUUCACAAACCUCUUAUUCCUUUAUCGCCUUCACAAAGCUCUUAAAGUUCUCAUAAGAUGUUCCUCCUUUUGCUAUGUUCUUCAUCACUUUCUCCUUCAACACCACACACCUACAUUUUAUGUUCUCAUCAUUAAAGAUCUGUUCCACUUUGGUUUUCAACUCUCCGCGUGACACAACUCCAUUUUCAUCUUUGUCAAUUCCCAACCCAACCUUUAACUCAUCACAAAUAUGUGUUUUGUUGUAAGGUUGGUCUCCCAAGUAUGGCCAACACAACAAAGGUACCCCAUUGGACAAACCUUCCAUGGUAGAAUUCCAACCACAAUGAGUGAGAAAACAUGCUAUGGCAGGGUGACUUAAAACCUUUUGUUGAGGAGCCCAAUUCACUAUCUUACCCUUAUGCCCUUGGAAUUCAUGAGGGUAUGCCAUUUUAUUGUCUUCUCUUAUAACCCAAAGAAAAGGUCUAUUGGUGAGGUCUAGUCCAAGGGCAAGUUCAUUGAAUUGGUUUUGGUCAAAAAGAGUGAUACUACCAAAGGCAACAUACAACACAGAACCAUCAGCUUGUUCAUCUAGCCAACUCAUGCAAGAGAGAUCUUCUUCCCAGAAUUGCCCCAAUGAUCUUAGAGUUACAUUAGUUUUGUAAUGAUGAUCACUUCUCAACAGCGGACCAAUUGGAAGGAGACUCGGAACAAGGGUUAAUACGUGAGGUUCAAGUUCAUGUGCAGUAUCACAAAGCCACCAUUGAGUCAAAUUUAAAGCUGGAAAACAGUGAUGCACCAAGUAAUUAAGGUAAUGAGAACCAUCCAUAAGUUCAGCCAUGUGAAACCAAAACAAGGUUCUUGUGUCCAUCUCUGGCAUACUUGGUGAUAAUUGAAUUGUCCCUUUUGAAGUUAAUAUGGAUCCUGCAAUGAAACAUGACAUAAUUGAGAAGUAAAAUAUGUUUUUAGAUGGGCAUGGUAUUUAUUAAAACAGGACCAAACAAAAGCAUAAGUUGCCAGACUU